Molecule: ribosomal RNA, 497 nt
Filed under: uncultured bacterium
Lineage: Bacteria
Description: partial 16S ribosomal RNA
Rfam family: Bacterial small subunit ribosomal RNA
Source: RNAcentral
GAUGAACGCUGGCGGCGUGCCUAAUACAUGCAAGUCGAGCGAACGGACGAGAAGCUUGCUUCUCUGAUGUUAGCGGCGGACGGGUGAGUAACACGUGGAUAACCUCCCUAUAAGACUGGGAUAACUUCGGGAAACCGUAGCUAAUACCGGAUAAUCUUUUGAACCGCAUGGUUCAAAAGUGAAAGACGGUCUUGCUGUCACUUCUAGCUGGAUCCGCGCUGCAUUAGCUAGUUGGUAAGGUAACGGCUUACCAAGGCAACGAUGCAUAGCCGACCUGAGAGGGGGAUCGGCCACACUGGAACUGAGACACGGUCCAGACGCCUGCGGGAGGCAGCAGUAGGGAAUCUGCCGCAAUGGGCGAAAGCCUGACGGAGCAACGCCGCGUGAGUGAUGAAGGUCUUCGGAUCGUAAAACUCUGUUAUUAGGGAAGAACAUAUGUGUAAGGAACUGUGCACAUCUUGACGGUACCUAAUCAGAAAGCCACGGCUAACUACGUG